Molecule: long non-coding RNA, 4209 nt
Organism: Siniperca chuatsi (mandarin fish)
Lineage: Eukaryota; Metazoa; Chordata; Actinopteri; Centrarchiformes; Sinipercidae
Exons: 2
Source: RefSeq, a predicted model, not a curated record
UGGUUUUGGAAACCCUUAGUGCUGUGAAACUGGCCAGAUUUUCUUUACUUGUGACUCUCCUGCCUGUGAAAGCCCACCUGGCGAGAACAACCUGUUCCUACUAGGAAGGCUGAUUAAACUCAUCUCUGCUCCCCAUCGUUAGCAUUAAUUGGCGCCAUCUGUUGUUAGCGGUUAGCAGAGUCUCGCCUGUGUGGCGGCUGGCCAGGCCGACCUGCUGCUGCAUUGUGGGAGUGCAGGAUGCAGGGGAAACGCCACAUCAGUGGGUGCCAAACACUGAAGCUUUUUCAGGAGACAGACAAUGACACAGUGCAAAACUCCUCCCUGACCCUACGUGGACAGGACCAGGCCCACGGUAGACCGAACACUGGGGCUGAGGGGACAAGCAGCACAACUCAAAGACGAAAGGGUCUUUCUGUAAUGUCUCUGCCCUCAAGACAAAAUGGAGUGAUUUUUGGCCCUUUGCUGAUGAAGACCAUGAGAUGUGGUUAAAGGCAGAACAAGCAGUCGAUUAACCGAUCGACAGAAACAUAAUUGGUAACUAUUUUGAUAAUCCAUUAAUUGUUUAAGUAUUUUUUAAGAAAAAGGCCAAACAAACAAAGGCUUUAGUUCCAGCUGCUUAGUUGUGAGGCUUUGCUGCUUUUCUUUGUCUUCUGUGAUAGUAAACAGAAUAUUUUACGUGUUGGCCAGUGAAAACAACCUGGCAUUGUGAUGGGCAUUUUUUAUUUUAUUUAUUAUUUUCUGACAUUUUAUAGACUAAACGCUAAAUCUAGAAAAUAACUGGCAGAUAAUCAUUAGUUGCAGCCCUAGUUGAAAGCUCCUAAAAAGCUAGUAGACUUUGAGUUGAGAUUAAUUUGUUACACACACACACACACACACACACUGAUCUCAAAAUCACAAAUUAACUUAACUGGUGAUGAAGUCUGGCCAAGAUGUUAAAACAACGACCCGAACAGCAUUAAUUUGAGAAUUUAUAUGUUGUUUAAAUCAGUGGCUCCCAACCUGGGGGUCGAGACCCUCGGAGGAAAAAAAAAAACUACGUAAUUAUAUUGAUUGUUUUCUGACUUUCUGAUUUUAUAUGCAGGGCUUCAAGUCUAAUUUAUUAAAAUGGCUGUAUCUUGCAGGUUUUACAUAUGCAAACACUUUCACUUAACACAUGCUUCUUUUCCUAAACCUUCCAGUCAGGGGGUUGCUGGAUUAUAUUAAUGUGCUAAUUCUAACAUGAUGAGCUCUCAUUCAGUCUUGGAGGAGAAAAUUCACUUGCACUGCAGCCUGUGUGGCCGGUAUCUCUAACGACGACGAAGACUAGUCUUCUCAAGUGGACUCUCACUCAGGGAUUAAAGAUGUCACACGCUCAUUAAACCCAAAGUAUUAAAGUGACAUUAAUGUCUUUUUUCACACAAAUCAUCCCUCUAGACUGUCUACUAGGGCUGCUGCAGACUAAACUCUGACAGUGUAGGACACUCUGCUCAUGAGGAAUUUGUUACUGUGUCACAUUUCAACACAUUUGAGGGUAAAAUGCAGUUUGAGUGCCAGUAAAUAAGAUUUUCUGAUGCUAGAAACUGAUACUGGCUCACAGUUGUGAAAUUCAACAAAGCAUAUAUAUUGUACUAACACAAUAUUUUUAUUUGUGAGCAUUUUGGCAACAAAUGCGGUUUGUUUAUGUUUGUUUUUUUGCUGCAGCUGAACUAAAAGAUGCCAGAUAAGUUGGUUCAAAGCAUUAAACUGCGUCAAAGUUAAAUGCCCAUUUGUUUUAUGUACAGCUGAAUAGCAGGGUUAGGAGUUUAACUCACGCUAAACCAUCUAAGAUACAAAACAUAUGUGACAGAUUGUGAGGGACUGUGAUUUAAAAUGUCUUUAUUUAAAAAAAAAAUCUAAAAAUAAGACAAUUAAUAUGCGAUCAAAGUUGCAAUAUUAAUUUUGAAGUUGCAGCAGGUGAUCUGCCGUCAACACCUUUCUUCCUUGCUGAUAGUUUCAUCAUCACAGUUUCAUCAGGUUACACAGAAGAUGAGAGAGGCGAGGGGGGGACGCAGGUAACAUGGCAACUAAGUUACAUCAGCCCAUAACACAGCAGCUGAAAUGCAUGGCUGUGUGGCAACGGCCCAUGUAACCGCAAGAAGCAGAGAAGCACCCUUUCUCUGAUCAAAUAUUAAAUAAAUCAACAGCAAAAUAAUAUUAAGAUUCCUGCACUAUUUCCUAAUAAGUUUUUUUUCAGACCUAGAACAAAAAACCUAGUGUAUAUUUUUGUAACACUUAAUUUAAACAAAACACACUUCAAAUGUGAGUAACGCUUCUUCUGAGACAGAACGUGGUCACAAUAACCUGUUAACAUAAUAAUCAAAUGUCCAUCUCUCCUAAAACUGUCUGUCCUCAAGGUCAGUCUUUAUUUCAGGUUUAGAAAGAGAGAUUUAGGUGCCAGGUGCGCUGCUAUAAAUAAAAGACAAAUAAGUAAUGUAAAAAUAAAUUCUAAACGCGUGGGGGCCUUAUGAAAUAGUUUUGAGGGCCGAAUCUGGCCCCCAGGCUGGCAGGUUAAAACCCCCACUUUAGGUCAGUCUUGUCCACGAUGGUCUGAUGCAACUAAAAACAUUUUACUGGCUUCUGUGGUGUGUUCACCACAGAGGGUUUCUCCGCCGAGUAAAAACGUUGCCACUGAAAAGGAGAUAACAUCUGUAAUCACGGUUUGCGAACUUCUCUUGUAGGCAGCAGGAGCAUGCCCUCAAAAAACUCCACCUCUGUUUCUGUAGCCAAAACACAAGUGCUCACCAAUACAGAUCAUUAUCAUUUUAAACUACAAACGUACGUCAACAACAGGUAAAAAGGAAGUCCCAUUUUCUUCUGUGUUCUCUUACUACUGAUUAUAAUGCCCUUAGGUUUGACCCCAAUCCUACACUCUUGGCUCUAAUCUCACAUUAACCUCGACCUGCGAGCGGCUGUCAGUCAGCACUCACAACAACUCAUGAAUGAGCCUCUCACGUCACUGUGUGAAUGUUUACAUUUUCAACACAAAGUGGCUGGAAGGUUGAGCCUUGCGCAAGUGUUGAUUAAAACCCAAGAUAGGAGAAGGGACUAGAAUCACAGCUGAAGUGCAACCUAGGGUUACAGCUAACUGCUACUUUCAUUAUUGAUUUAUCUAUUAAAACGUAUGAUAUGUACAGAGUGAGACAUUUUACAGAUGAAAAAUAAACCUCUUACGUAGACAAACUAUACUGUUUCUAAAUGACCUCAAAAAUAUCUUUGGCAUUUCUGUACUGCAAUUUCUCGUUACUUAGUGGCUGCCAUAUACACAGAUACCAAUACAACAACCAAAUCUCAUAAGUUUGAUUUACUAGGGUUACAACUAACAGUUGCUUUCAUUAUGAUUGUGUUCAUUAUUUUCUCAAUUGAUUCCUAGAGCCCGGCUGACGUCUUCAAAUUACUUGUAUUGCCCAACCAACUACCAAAAACCAAAAGAUAUUAAUCUAACAAUGAUUUUAAAAACAGAGAAAAGCAGCAAAUCCUCACAUUUGAGAGGCUGGAACCAGAGAAUAUUUGGCAUUUUUUCGGUGAUUUUCUGUGUAUCAACUAAUCAGUUAAUCAACUAAUUGUUUUAGUUCUACUGCAAACCUGACAGUGGCAUGUUUGGUGAAUGACUGAGCGUGGACCGGAUGUCAAAGCUGCAAAUGAUCACCAGACAGUUUAAACUGAAACAGCAAAGUUAAUGUGUCACAGAGGGUGUGAUCCAAGAAGGCACUGGCUGCAACUGUGACCUCUGACCUACAUCACACCAUGAUAUGAGCAGCAACCAGUCGUCAUCCGAGCCAUCAGGACCACAGACUGUGUGUGUGUGUGUGUGUGUGUGUGUGUGUGUGUGUGUGUGUUUAUAUACAGUCUAUGAUCAGGACCACUUGCACUUCAGACCGUAAAACACGGUUUAUAAUGAAGGUUUAAGUUAAGCCACAAUUCAUUUACAACUAUUGUACAGCACUGCCAUCAAACCAACACCCUCCUCAGUGAUAUCCAGCUAGCCAUCUUGGCCGCUAUCAUCUCCCACAUAACGCGGAGACAAACGGCUGGUAAAGGCGCGUUGUUCCGCCGUGAAACAACUCAAACUGACGGUAAAAGGAGGCCGCACAGACGGCAAGACUACACUCCGGUCCGGUGGGCUGAGCAGAAACAAAAACAACCGCCUCCACACAUCACAACUACCCUCCCCCGCCUUGUCUCGUACCAGAA